RNAcentral lists this long non-coding RNA (4233 nucleotides) under Populus trichocarpa (black cottonwood). Its description in RNAcentral is "long non-coding RNA (PTRI_LNC000448)". The record is from RNAcentral. Lineage: Eukaryota; Viridiplantae; Streptophyta; Magnoliopsida; Malpighiales; Salicaceae.
GAUUGUUGUAUUAAACUCAAUCCAUCCAGAAGGUCAAGGAAGGCAGCCACCAGCUGUCACCGCCCAGCCACCAACCGGCCAGCCGCCAGCCACCAGCUGUUUGCCGCCACAGCCGCCAGCCGCCUUCACACUUGAAGGUUGAAUUUUCUUGUUUUGAAUUCGUGUAUAAAUAGCAAGCUAAGCUUAUGUUAUUCUGUGUGGAGAGAGUAGAGAGAAACACUAGAGAGAAAGAGAGAGGGCGUGUAUUGUGUUAAGCUUUUGUGUUAAGUAAUUGUAAGCUUUUGUUCUUGAAAUAAAACAGUGUGUUUUAUCCCCUCCGAGUGUUUCAAAGCCACCACCAGUGGUUUCUCCCACCAACAAUUGGUAUCAGAGCCCCGUUCGUCAGAAAACAGAAGUGUUUUGGGAGAUAUCCGAAUUUUCAAAGUUGUCAAAAACAAGUUUUGAUCAUUCCAUUGUAUAGAGCUCAUCCAUACGAACUCACUGCCGCAAAAAUCAGCUCAAUCGGACACCGGGGUGAGCCACACGCGCCGCCUGAAGAUCCGGUGACUGUAGCCCAGUCUCACCCACGCGCGCCAGAGGAAGAAGACGAGUGACGUCCACGCGCGCCAUAUUUGAGCCGUUAAGCCGAGCCGAGCCGAGCUGCAAGCCAAGCCUCCAGCCGCGCCGAAGAAUAUUCCCAAGAAUAUUCCCUUUUCAAGCCGAGCCGCUAUUAGCCGAAGCCGAGCCGAUAGAAUAUUCCACAGAAUAUUCCCGGUUCAACCCAGCAAACCGCCCGACGCCCAGAAUUGGUUUUUUGACCGGUUCACCCAUUUUCUGACCUGAUUUCUACAAAGUCAAACCGGUUCCCGACUAUUUCGACCAUUCCGGAUCGAUCUACAAUGUCGGUUUUGCCAAAUUCAACUCCCAGAAGGAGAUAUAGUCAUUAAAAGAGCAAAAUGACUACAGAAAGUACACAAACACUCAUCCCGAAGCUGACCAAAGACAACUAUGAUAGUUGGUGCAUAAGAUUAAAGGCAUUUCUUGGUUCACAAGAGUGUUUGGAGAUUGUACACUAUGGUUAUGAUGAACCAGAGUCUAAAGAAGAAGAAGAUGCUUUACAAGAGGCACAGAAGCAAGCCCUGAAAGUCAACAGAAAGAAGGACAACAAAGCAAAGACCAUCAUCUACCAAGGUCUUGAUGAAGAUACAUUCGAGAUCAUAGCUUCCGCUGAAACAUCAAAAGACAUAUGGGAGGCUCUCCAACAAAAAUACAAAGGUGCUGACAGAAUCAAGAAGAUUCGUCUUCAAUCUUUGCGAGGUGAAUUUGAGUUAUUGCAAAUGAAGUCCUCAGAAUCUAUUUCUGAUUAUCACACAAGGAUUAUGGUGAUAGUCAAUCAGAUGAGGAGAAAUGGAGAAGCCAUCAUAGAUUCUCGAAUUACUGAGAAAAUUUUGAGAUCCCUAGAUCCAAAAUUUGAUUUUGUUGUUGUCGCUAUUGAAGAGUCCAAGGAAGUGGACAAGUUGACAGUUGAUGAGCUUAUGAGUUCUUUGCAAGCUCAUGAGCAGAAGAUUGUAAAGCGAAAUGGAGAUAAGGCCAUCGAGCAUGCCUUACAAGCAAAGAUGUCUCUCAAGGACAGAUAUGAGCAAGGGGAGACUUCAACAAGUGGAUAUACCACUCAAGCAGGAAGUCAACAAUCCAGAGGAGGAUUCCAGAGAUUCCAAGGAAGAGGUUCUUGGAAUACAAGCUUUAGAGGAAGAGGUGGUAGAAACACCACCAGAGGAGGUAGAGGACAGCAAGCAUUCACUCCUAGAGGAAGAGGAGGCGGUUACAAUAACCGUGACAAGAGGAAUAUCCAAUGUUAUAGUUGCAAUCAAUUUGGGCACUAUAGCACUGAAUGCAGAAGGAAAGCUCCGUUGGAGAUACGUGAGCAAGCCAACUAUGCAGAGAAGGAUGACAUAGAAGCUGCAUUUCUUGUCCAACAAGAACUUGGCGAGAAACAGGAAAAUAUAUGGUAUCUAGAUACUGGAGCCAGCAAUCACAUGUGUGGCUACCGAGAGUUAUUUAGUGAUCUAGAUGAGACCAAGCAAGGUCUAGUUACUUUUGGAGAUACCUCAAAGGUUCCAUUCAAAGGUAAAGGCAGCAUCCCAAUCAAGUUGAAGAACGGCGAUUCCAGCUACAUCGCCAAUGUUUAUUAUGUCCCAGCCAUAAAGCAGAACCUGAUCAGCUUAGGUCAACUUUUGGAGAGAGGAUAUACUUUUUACUCGAAGAAUUGCCAUCUGACAAUUAGAGACAACAAUUGGAGAUUAAUGGCCUAUGUGAAAAUGUCCAAGAAUAGGAUGUUUCCUUUGAACAUCCAGUAUGAUGCAGCAAGGUGUUUGAGUGCCAUCACCAACAGUGAAGAAUGGCUCUGGCACCUGAGGCUUGGACAUCUGAAUUUCACGAGCUUGAAGAUGCUAGCAAGCAAGAAGAUGGUCAAAGGUAUGCCUCACAUUGAUCAUCCAGAUGAAGUCUGUGAGAGUUGUGUCCUCAGCAAACAUCACAGAUCCAGUUUUGCCAAAGAAGUCAACUGGAAAGCAAAGAGGCCACUGGAGUUAGUACACACAGAUGUGUGUGGCCCAAUAACGCCUAUGUCGACUGGACAGAAUAGGUACUUCCUCACUUUUAUUGAUGAUUUUAGUAGAAAGACGUGGAUAUACUUUCUGAAGAGGAAGUCAGAAGUAUUCAAUUGUUUUAAAGAUUUUAAAGCAAUUGUGGAGAAGCAAAGUGGUUACAUGAUCAGAACAGUGAGAUCUGAUCAAGGUGGAGAAUAUACAGCAAAUGACUUUGAAGCCUUCUGUACACAACAAGGCAUCAGACAUCAAACAACGCCUGCUUAUACACCACAGCUGAAUGGUGUAGCUGAAAGGAAGAAUCGCACGAUUCUUGACAUGGCAAGAAGUCUGCUCAAAGCAAAGAAGUUGCCCAAGCAAUACUGGGCUGAAGCUGUAUCAUGUGCAGUGUAUCUACUGAAUCGCUGCCCAAACAGAAGUUUGCAAGGUGUCACUCCAGAAGAAGCUUGGAGUGGUCACAAACCAAGUGUUACUCAUCUACGAGUCUUUGGUUGUGUGGCAUAUGCAAAGAUCCCAGAUGCAAGAAGGAGAAAACUCGAUGAUAAAAGCGAGAGAUGCAUCUUUGUGGGAUAUGGUGAAAGAAGGAUGGGAUACAAGCUGUAUAAUCCCAUCACGAAGAAGGUGAUUAUGAGUAGAGAUGUUAUCUUUGAAGAAGAUAAAUCUUGGGAAUGGACUGAUAAUAAAGAAGCAGUUAGAUGGAUCAACAUUGAUUUGAUCCUUGAAGGUGAAGAAGUACCAACAGUACUUGUCGAAGAACCGAUUGUGCCAGCAGCUGAACCACAAAGUCCGGUGAUUAUACCAGCAGCUGAACCACAAAGUCCAGUACACAGAUUCCCUGUAUUCAACAGGAGGAACACACCAGGAGCAUCAUCAUCAACACCAGCAGCAGCAUCCUCGUCAGAAGGACCAAGAAGGAUGAGAAAUCUUGACGAGUUGUACGAUGCCACGCAAGUCAUCGAAGAUACAACUCUAUUUUGUUUCUUUGCAGACAAUGACCCACUUAGCUUCAACAAAGCUAUCACAGAAGAGAAGAUAGAAGCAAUGGAUAAAGAAAUGCAUGCCAUUGAGAAGAAUGAUAUCUGGAAGCUGACUUAUCCACCAGAAAGCAAGAAAGCAAUAGGUGUCAAAUGGGUCUAUAAGAAAAAGAAGAAUGCAAAAGAAGAAGCGCAAAAAUACAAAGCCAUUGAAGAGGGAAACAUUUAUCAGAAUGAAGUUCAUGCUUGGCAUGACAUCCCUCGAUUGAGUUUAAAGGGGAGAUUUGUUGUAUUAAACUCAAUCCAUCCAGAAGGUCAAGGAAGGCAGCCACCAGCUGUCACCGCCCAGCCACCAACCGGCCAGCCGCCAGCCACCAGCUGUUUGCCGCCACAGCCGCCAGCCGCCUUCACACUUGAAGGUUGAAUUUUCUUGUUUUGAAUUCGUGUAUAAAUAGCAAGCUAAGCUUAUGUUAUUCUGUGUGGAGAGAGUAGAGAGAAACACUAGAGAGAAAGAGAGAGGGCGUGUAUUGUGUUAAGCUUUUGUGUUAAGUAAUUGUAAGCUUUUGUUCUUGAAAUAAAACAGUGUGUUUUAUCCCCUCCGAGUGUUUCAAAGCCACCACCAGUGGUUUCUCCCACCAACAUAGAUGGCCCCUUCCAUAUACAUUUGAGCUCAG